CCCUACCCCACUCGUUUCUCUCUCUCCCUCUUCGGUGUAACCUUAGCCGCCGCCUUGAGUUUUCAUCUUCUCUCUCCGCCAAAAAUGGCAAAGUUGCAGAGUAUAGCAGACGAAUACAACUAUUGCAUGUCCGUUAUGGUGAAAACAUUUAAUGUUCCCCUCGAUUUCAUGAUUUUUUAUCCGAACACCGUUGGAAGCAUAAGGCUCCCAAGUCCAUUCUUUUCUUGGCUGCGCACACAAAAGAUUCCGGGCGAAACGGGAUUUGAGUUUAAGCGAGCGAAAGACGCACGUAAGGUACAGACGCUUAUUGUGGUGAUCCGCUAGCCUAGGGUACACAGUCUGCUGCUUGGAGUGCUCCUUUGAUCCGGAGCCCAUAUGUUCGGUACAGAACUCUCUGUUGUAUAUGAUUUCGUGUUUAUGGUUAUUUUGGGUACGGCGGGGCCCUGUCCCGUCAUAUGAUUUCGUUGUCUGUAUUAGAGGCCUGUAGACAUGUAUGUGGGUCAUGGGUCGUGU
Lycium barbarum (goji berry) is the source of this 513-nucleotide long non-coding RNA. RefSeq lists it as uncharacterized. The transcript has 4 exons. The record is from RefSeq and is a predicted model, not a curated record. Lineage: Eukaryota; Viridiplantae; Streptophyta; Magnoliopsida; Solanales; Solanaceae.